RNAcentral lists this ribosomal RNA (234 nucleotides) under uncultured microorganism. Its description in RNAcentral is "partial 16S ribosomal RNA". It matches the Rfam family "Bacterial small subunit ribosomal RNA", at positions 9 to 233 of the family's 1533-position model. The record is from RNAcentral.
GAGUUUGAUCUUGGCUCAGGAUGAACGCUGGCGGCGUGCCUAAUACAUGCAAGUCGAGCGAACGGACGAGAAGCUUGCUUCUCUGAUGUUAGAGGCGGACGGGUGAGUAACACGUGGAUAACCUACCUAUAAGACUGGGAUAACUUCGGGAAACCGGAGCUAAUACCGGGAUAAUAUUCUGAACCGCAUGGUUCAAAGUAAAAGCGGUCUUGCUGUCACUUAUAGAUGGAUCCG